RNAcentral lists this unclassified non-coding RNA (20 nucleotides) under Chlamydomonas reinhardtii. RNAcentral describes it as "small RNA Cre_1027". The record is from RNAcentral. Lineage: Eukaryota; Viridiplantae; Chlorophyta; Chlorophyceae; Chlamydomonadales; Chlamydomonadaceae.
CCAUGCUUGACUAGCUCGCA